UUAACUGGGGUAGUUGUUUCAAAAAAAUUGAAAUUUUUUCACAGUUUUAAAUAAAUGGUCUAAGUUCUUUUAUAUAAGGAAAAUUAGUGUUAGUUACUUUAGGGAUAACAGCGUUAUAUUUUUGGAGAGAUCUUAUCUAUAAAAAUGAUUGCGACCUCGAUGUUGAAUUAAAAUUACUUUAUAAAGUAGAAUAUAUAAAAGUAGGUUUGUUCAACCUUUAAAUUUUUACAUGAUCAGAGUUCAGACCGGA
RNAcentral lists this ribosomal RNA (250 nucleotides) under Paralicella caperesca. Its description in RNAcentral is "partial 16S ribosomal RNA". The stretch from base 104 to 250 matches the Rfam family "Bacterial large subunit ribosomal RNA", at positions 2473 to 2620 of the family's 2925-position model. The record is from RNAcentral. Lineage: Eukaryota; Metazoa; Arthropoda; Malacostraca; Amphipoda; Lysianassidae.